GCGGAAUCUAAUAUACCUGGUCCAGGUAAAUACGAUUCUCCUGUUCCAAUCAAAUGUACAGGCUCCAUUUACCCUGCGCCAUUUGGCACCUGUGUUGGUCGUUUUCCAAAAAUUUCUGACGACACUGGGCCAGGACCCAGCGAUUACCAUUCGAAAGUCGGCAACUUGGCAUACGAGUCAGAGAGGCGUUACCGGUACGCUUAUUUAAGACAACUGCAGCCACGGAUUUACCUCGAGACAUUUUGCUACCCAAACGAAGAGGAU
This 264-nucleotide unclassified non-coding RNA is filed under the name Bombus terrestris (buff-tailed bumblebee). RNAcentral describes it as "misc RNA ENSBTSG00005031159.1". The record is from RNAcentral. Lineage: Eukaryota; Metazoa; Arthropoda; Insecta; Hymenoptera; Apidae.